Molecule: ribosomal RNA, 318 nt
Filed under: uncultured eukaryote
Lineage: Eukaryota
Description: partial 18S ribosomal RNA
Rfam family: Eukaryotic small subunit ribosomal RNA
Source: RNAcentral
CCCUUAGAUGUUCUGGGCCGCACGCGUGCUACACUGAGUGGAUCAGCGGGUCAGGUUGCGCGAAAGCGUUUCCUAAUCUUUAAAUCCGCUCGUGAUGGGGAUUGACGGUUGCAAUUUUCUGUCAUGAACGAGGAAUACCUUGUAAGCGCGGGUCAUCAUCCCGCGCUGAAUACGUCCCUGCCCUUUGUACACACCGCCCGUCGCUCCUACCGAUUGAGUGGUCCGGUGAGCUAUUCGGACUUUCGCAUUGUCGAUUUUCGGCUUUACGAGGGAAAGUCUCGCGAACCUUAUCAUCUAGAGGAAGGAGAAGUCGUAACA